CAGAAGGAUUAGCACAUUGGCAUGUCUAUUGGAAGGUGUCAUAUUACUAGGUUAGGAACUUGUUACAAAAAUUGACUGACAGAUUACAACUGGAUGCAAUCUGUUCCUCCAACAACAAUCAGAAAACGGGAAGAGG
Non-coding RNA from Caenorhabditis elegans, 136 nucleotides. The record is from Ensembl. NCBI's taxonomy places the organism in Eukaryota, Metazoa, Nematoda, Chromadorea, Rhabditida, Rhabditidae.